UUAGAUGCACCAUCCAUCUCUGUUGUGUGUACCAAUGCUAAUAUCUGAUUCUUAUGCUAAGUAGGUACCAAUGCUACUUAUGACAUUUUGAUUUACAAAUCAAUCUUGAUGCAGGAGGAUCCAAGUCAUAUGAUGUUGAAUUGUCAGGUAGCAUGUUGUUGGCGCUGAGAUACCAUGAGUUGGCAAAUUAGCGCAAAGAUAGAAGAAAAUCGUGAUAUUUUUCUUAAUUGCGGCAGUUUUGGGUGCAUUUCGGUAUUUUGGCCAUAACUUUGGCUACGGGUAUCAGAAUCACGCAUAUGACCUCAAUUUGAAAAACGUUUUUUGGCACGCACAUCGUAGCCAAAGAACUAUGCUCGUUGCAUAUCUUUUCGAGGCCAAAAUCCAUUCUUUCCCCUUCUGAAUCCACAAUUUUAGUAAUUUUUUUUUUCCUUUAUGGUAAUAUUUCAUUAAUCGUUUAGGAACUGAUUUUGAACCCGAUUUGGGUCAAAUUUUUUUCAGAAUAUUUUUUUUAUUAAUUAUUUUGUUUUAGCACAAUUAUUGAGAUUUUGUUGUUUUUGUUAAAAUUCUAAUAAUAACGAAUUUUAGCUAUAAAGCCUGGUUUGUGGGCUGAUUUUAGAGAUACUUUUGAUUUGAAUAAUUUUAAUUGAAUAUUAGAGUUGUUUCUCUGUGCUUUUUGGGAGAAUAUUUUGUGUUAUUUUUCCUGUGAAUUAUCUGUUAAACUAGCCUGCAGAAUAAUCACUAUUCUGCCCGGCAAAUUUGUAUUGAUCAUAACUUUUGACAUUUAUGUUAACAUGUUAUUCAUAUUUCAAUUAUAUGUAAAAGGUGAUGCUUAGGUAUUCCUUUUGUUAACAUGUUAUUCAUAUUUCAAUUAACAUGUUUUCCGGUGCGCCCUUGAUGGCCCUUGAAAAUCUGGAGGACUGAGUGUCAAUCGCUCCCAAUCGUACUCAUAACCACAUCAAGUCUCCAAGGCGAACAACGUCUGGUCGAUGGAACAAUGUAGGAAAGGGAAGUUGGCAAAAUGGAUCUGGAACAUCGAGAAAAGGAUUGGCUCUGAGGACUGGACUCGCGGGUCCCUAUCCCAAACCAAUCGGUUGUCAAUGGAUAGCUCAGGUUGCUUAUGCAUUGAGAGCAGGUCACUGUGUGCCGACUAGGGGAUGGACUAGGAAUGGUCCCUUCCGAGUCCUUUCUUGGGCGUCGAACAAUUGACUCAGAACUAGUACGAACAAGAGGAAUCCUAUUAUUUAAUUGAAACAAAGCAUUGCGAUGGUCCUUACGGAUGUUAACGCAAUGUGAUUUCUGCCCAGUGCUCUGAAUGUCAAAGUGAAGAAAUUCCAUCAAGCACUGGUAAACGGCGGGAGUAACUUUGACUCUCUUAAGGUAGCCAAAUGUCUCGUCAUCUAAUUAGUGAUGCACAUGAAGGGAUUAACAAGAUUCCCACUAUCCUUAUUUACUAUCCAGCGAAACCACAACCAAGGGAGCGAGCUUGGCAGAGUCAACGGGAAUGAAGACCUUGUUGAGCUUGAUUCCAGUUAGACUUUCUAAAAUGACUUGAGAGGUGUAGGAUGAGCCGGAGGCGUUUGCGUCGAAAGUGAAAUACCAUUACUUUUAACGUUAUUUUACUUAUUCAAGAAUCGGAAGCGGGGCACUGCCUCUCUUUUUGGAUCCAAGGGUCAUUUUGGCGACCCGAUCCUGGCUAAAGACAUUGUCAGGUGGGGAGUUUGGCUGGGCAGCACAUCUGUUAAAAUAUAAUGAAGGUGUUCUAAGAUGAGCUCAACGAGAACAAAAUUGUCAGGUGGAACAGAAGGGUAAAAACUCGUUUGAUUAUGAUUUCUAGUACGAAUACGAACAGUGAAAGUGUGGCCUACCGAUUUUUUAGACCUUCAAAAUUUGAAGCUAGACGUGUCAGAAAAGUUACCACAAGGAUGAUUGGCUUGUGGCAGCAAAACAUUCAUAGCGACGUUGCUUUUUUAUAAUUCGAUGUCGGCUCACCCUAUCAUUGUGAAGCAAAAUUCAACAAGUGUUGUAUUGUUCACCCACCAAUUGGGAAUGUGAGCUGGGUUUAGAUUGUCGUGAGAAGGGUUAGUUUUACCCUACUGAUGAUAGUGCUGCGAUAGUAAUUCAACCUGGUACGAAAGGAACCGUUGAUUCACACAAUUGGUCAUCGCGCAUAUGACCCCAAUUCAGAAAGCUCUUUUCGGCACACGUCGUAACCAACAUCUUUUCGAGGCAAAAAUCCAUUGUUUCCCCUUCCGAAUCUACAAUUUUAGUAAUGUUUUUCCUUUUAUGGUAAUAUUUCAUUCUUCGUUUAGGAAGUGUUUCUGAACCCAAUUUUGGCCAGAUUUUUGGAAAAUUGUUUAUUUUAUUACGUAUUUUGUUUUAACAUGAUUAUUGGGAUUUUCUAUUUUUGUUAAAAUUCUAAUAAUCACGAGUUUUAGCUAUAAAGCCCGAC
Molecule: ribosomal RNA, 2449 nt
Filed under: Berberis thunbergii
Lineage: Eukaryota; Viridiplantae; Streptophyta; Magnoliopsida; Ranunculales; Berberidaceae
Description: eukaryotic LSU rRNA
Rfam family: Eukaryotic large subunit ribosomal RNA (bases 986-2352)
Source: RNAcentral